RNAcentral lists this ribosomal RNA (1493 nucleotides) under uncultured bacterium. Its description in RNAcentral is "bacterial SSU rRNA". It matches the Rfam family "Bacterial small subunit ribosomal RNA". The record is from RNAcentral.
AGAGUUUGAUCCUGGCUCAGGAUGAACGCUGGCGGCGUGCUUAACACAUGCAAGUCGAACGUGAGGGGGUACUUGUAUCCCUGAAAGUGGCGGACGGGUGCGUAACACGUAGGAACCUGCCCUGGAGCGGGGGAUAACCAUGGGAAACUGUGGCUAAUACCGCAUGAGUUCAAUGUGACGGGAGUGCAUUGAGCAAAAUUACGGUGCUCUGGGAGGGGCCUGCGGCCGAUUAGCUAGUUGGUGGGGUAAAGGCCUACCAAGGCGAUGAUCGGUAGCUGUUCUGAGAGGAAGACCAGCCACACGGGAACUGAGAAACGGUCCCGACUCCUACGGGGGGCAGCAGUGAGGAAUAUUGCACAAUGGGGGAAACCCUGAUGCAGCAGCGCCGCGUGAAGGAUGAAGGCUUUCGAGUUGUAAACUUCUUUUCUGGGGGAAGAGGAAGGACGGUACCCUAGGAAUAAGACACGGCUAACUACGUGCCAGCAGCCGCGGUAAUACGUAGGUGUCGAGCGUUAUCCGGAAUUACUGGGCGUAAAGGGCACGCAGGCGGCUGUUCAAGUUCGACGUGAAAUCUCCUGGCUUAACCGGGAGAAGCCGUUGGAAACUGAAUGGCUUGAGGCAAUGAGAGGGAUGCGGAAUUCCCGGUGUAGUGGUGGAAUGCGUAGAUAUCGGGAAGAACACCAGUGGCGAAAGCGGCAUCCUGGCAUUGGCCUGACGCUCAUGUGCGAAAGCGUGGGUAGCGAACGGGAUUAGAUACCCCGGUAGUCCACGCUGUAAACGAUGUGAACUAGGUGUAGGUGGUAUUGACCCCAUCUGUGCCAAAGCCAACGCGAUAAGUUCACCGCCUGGGGAGUACGGCCGCAAGGCUAAAACUCAAAGGAAUUGACGGGGGCCCGCACAAGCAGCGGAGCGUGUGGUUUAAUUCGAUGCGACGCGAAGAACCUUACCUGGGCUUGACAUGUACCUAGUAGUGAACCGAAAGGGGAACGAGCCUUCGGGCAGGGUACACAGGUGCUGCAUGGCUGUCGUCAGCUCGUGUCGUGAGAUGUUGGGUUAAGUCCCGCAACGAGCGCAACCCACGUCGCUAGUUACAAGUGUCUAGCGAGACCGCCGGUAUCAAAUCGGAGGAAGGUGUGGAUGACGUCAAGUCAGCAUGGCCUUUAUGUCCAGGGCUACACACACGCUACAAUGGCCGGUACAAAGGGCAGCGAAAGGGCGACCUGGAGCGAAUCUCAUCAAAGCCGGUCGUAGUUCGGAUUGUAGGCUGCAACUCGCCUGCAUGAAGUCGGAGUUGCUAGUAAACGCAGGUCAGCUACACUGCGUUGAAUACGUUCCCGGGCCUUGUACACACCGCCCGUCACGUCAUGGGAGUUGAUAACACCUGAAGUCGGUGACCCAACCGAAAGGAGGGAGCUGCCUAGGGUGGGAUCGAUGACUGGGACGAAGUCGUAACAAGGUAGCCGUACCGGAAGGUGCGGUUGGAUCACCUCCUU